GACGAACGCUGGCGGCGUGCUUAACACAUGCAAGUCGAACGGAAAGGCCCUGCUCUUGUGGGGCGCUCGAGUGGCGAACGGGUGAGUAACACGUGAGUAACCUGCCCUUGACUUUGGGAUAACUUCAGGAAACUGGGGCUAAUACCGGAUAGGAGCUCCUGCUGCAUGGUGGGGGUUGGAAAGUUUCGGCGGUUGGGGAUGGACUCGCGGCUUAUCAGCUUGUUGGUGGGGUAGUGGCUUACCAAGGCUUUGACGGGUAGCCGGCCUGAGAGGGUGACCGGCCACAUUGGGACUGAGAUACGGCGCAGACUCCUACGGGAGGCAGCAGUGGGGAAUAUUGCACAAUGGGCGGAAGCCUGAUGCAGCAACGCCGCGUGCGGGAUGACGGCCUUCGGGUUAUGAACCGCUUUCGCCUGUGACGAAGCGUGAGUGACGGUAAUGGGUAAAGAAGCACCGGCUAACUACGUG
Molecule: ribosomal RNA, 468 nt
Filed under: uncultured bacterium
Lineage: Bacteria
Description: partial 16S ribosomal RNA
Rfam family: Bacterial small subunit ribosomal RNA
Source: RNAcentral